GCCCGCAUGGCUCAGAGGUAGAGCGCAUCACUAGUAUCUAUAUUCCACAUCUUAUGAAAUGUUUAUUCAAGGUCAAUGAUGAGGUCGUCAGUUCGAUUCUGGCUGUGGGCA
Non-coding RNA from Apodospora peruviana, 111 nucleotides. The record is from the annotation of a GenBank genome assembly. NCBI's taxonomy places the organism in Eukaryota, Fungi, Ascomycota, Sordariomycetes, Sordariales, Lasiosphaeriaceae.